CCUCGGCAGCCCGGGCCAAGUCCCCUCCCCAGCCCCGGCCCGCCGCGGGCGCCGCUCGGACUUCCCGUCCCCGCCCCCUUUCCCGGGCGACCUGGCGGGCUGUGUCACCUCCGGGGCUCUGGGUGCUGGGGACCGCGCGCCCCACGCCGGGCCGAGGGGGCUCUAGGACUCGCCCCUCGGUAGGAGCUGCCCUGAGGGGUGCAGGCCUCCUCCCGCACCCCGUGUGGCCCCCGGCGAGAGGCCUCGGGUCAACAGCCGCUGCAGAAACUGCUGCUCCGGGGGCCUGAGACGGGGGAGCCUGGGCGGCAGGGACAGCAGAGUCUGGGCGCGGGUUCGGGCAGGGCCCGGGUUCGGGCAGGGCCCGGGCGUGCGGUGACCACCCCUGCCAGCCUUUUCCACAGGGGGGCCUGCGCUGGGCCCUGGGACCACCGUGAGGUCCCCACCUGAGCCCGGCAGGGGACAGAGUGAGAGCGGUCCCUGGUAGGGCUGUGUCUGGAAUCCCCACUCCCCACCCUGGUCACAGCCCGGCAGCCAGGGCCAGGGCCCCUCCUGGAGGGGAGGUGCAGGCUGGGCUGGGGAGACCACCCUGGGCUCUGGGGCUGGGCCCCCUUCAGAGCUGUCCCGGAAGGGGGCGGAGCAGUUGCGGGUGAGGCCCCUCUUCAGCCCGUUUGCAAAGGCUUUAGCCCCUUCCCCGGAGCAGAGGGUCCCUGGGCUGCCCGGUGGCCCUCGGCCCUGCGUGGAUGCCCUCUGGUCUUCAGGGCCUUCUCUCUCUGCCCCUGAGGACAGGCCUUCUCUCAUCUGUCUCCUUUCCUGGUGGAUGGUAGGGUGGCUGGGGUGGGGGUCUGUGGUGGUGUCUUGUGCUCGAAGUGUGCCCAGGCAGUGGGGAACUUCCCAGUGUAAGGAGGAGAAAGCCACCGUCCACUGGAUGCCUGAGAGCUCGUCCCCAAAUCCCCCUGCCUGCCGUCCGCAGGGCCUGCAAGGUCCACCGCGGCCGCAGCCUCCAGUCUGUCCUGGUGUCUGGACUCGGGCUGGACCACCUUACAGCUCGUGCCAGCUGUGCCUGCACCACCUUUUAUGGCCCACACCUCCCACGGCAGCGUCAGAGUGUUUGGGUGCAGCAGGCCGCGGAGGGGCACUGAGGUAAUCCGGCCUCAACCAGCAUUCCCAGGACCCGAGGCCCCUCUGACCCUGAGCAGGCUGCAGGCUGCCCCACGGACAGCAUCCUUCAGCACCACAAAGCGCACGGCUGAGGUUGGUGGCCAGGGCUCAGGGCACCUCCAGGCAUGGUUCUUAACUAGCGAGCUGAUGCCAAGGUCACAUGACUGAGUUUUGGGCUGCGUUCCAUCCUGUCUGUGGGGAGAUAGAGGGAGAGGAGCAACAUGGGUGUGUGUUGACGCUUAGGGGGCGAACUGGGAGCUGCAGUAAGACACAUGCAUGCCUUUAGAGAAGGGACCUUCUCUAUCUGGGCUGUGGGUGCCCACGGGCCUGGCCCGGAGGAGAAGGAAGUCGUGCUGUUCCUUUUCUGCCCAUGUGUUCCCAGGCUGAGGCAGGCCUUAGGUGGCUCCGUGUGGAAAAGCUCUUCCUGGCUUUCGCACACUCUGGACACCACAUGGGCCACUCGGGGCGGGGCGCUGCUCUCGGGUUUGCAGCCUUUUACUUCACGGACAUUUGGGAAGACGCCUCUGCAGUCAGACUUUCCUCUGCUUACUCACGGAGCCGACAGACAGAACUAAAGUUCUCCCCAGUCACACUUGAUCACAACUUUCUCCAGGGACAACUCAGAAAAAAAUGAAAAAUGGCAAAACCUGCCGUUCAUGGGCAAUUGC
Molecule: long non-coding RNA, 1826 nt
Filed under: Saimiri boliviensis boliviensis (Bolivian squirrel monkey)
Lineage: Eukaryota; Metazoa; Chordata; Mammalia; Primates; Cebidae
Description: lncRNA (ENSSBOG00000036664.1)
Source: RNAcentral